RNAcentral lists this ribosomal RNA (401 nucleotides) under uncultured bacterium. RNAcentral's name for it is "bacterial SSU rRNA". It matches the Rfam family "Bacterial small subunit ribosomal RNA", at positions 356 to 774 of the family's 1533-position model. The record is from RNAcentral.
GGGGAAUAUUGCACAAUGGGCGAAAGCCUGAUGCAGCAACGCCGCGUGAGUGAUGAAGGCCUUCGGGUUGUAAAGCUCUGUCUUCUGGGACGAUAAUGACGGUACCAGAGGAGGAAGCCACGGCUAACUACGUGCCAGCAGCCGCGGUAAUACGUAGGUGGCAAGCGUUGUCCGGAUUUACUGGGCGUAAAGGGAGCGUAGGCGGAUACUUAAGUGGGAUGUGAAAUACCUGGGCUUAACUUGGGUGCUGCAUUCCAAACUGGGUGUCUAGAGUGUUGGAGAGGAAAGUGGAAUUCCUAGUGUAGCGGUGAAAUGCGUAGAGAUUAGGAAGAACACCAGUGGCGAAGGCGACUUUCUGGACAAUAACUGACGCUGAGGCUCGAAAGCGUGGGGAGCAAACA